UCUAUGGCCACACCAUUUAAGGUAUCCUAAACCCAUUCGCAAUUUAACAUCUUCAGUAUAUGGCUUCAUGUUAAAAAAGUUUGGUGUGAACUACUUGUGUCUUCUUGGAGGAGAAUGAAUUCAUUUACAGGCUGAGUUUAUCAUAAAUCCACAAUAACAUUUCUGAGUUCUGUAUUAAUCUGUGUUGUUGUUUGUUUAUUUUUAUUUUUUUAUUUUUCAUAGGAAGAUAACUGACCCUUUACUCUCCUUUUUAAUAAAUGAGCUAUUUAUAGCUGUAUUUAUAAACUGCCUACUACUGACUAUUAAUAUUGGGACAAGGCUUUAUGAAGCAUGAACUGACUAUUUACUAAUGAGUGCAGUUAUUAUAAAGUGUUAUCAAUGUAUUUGCUAAUGUUAACAAAUUAGACAUUAUUUUACAGUGUUAUCAAAUCCCUUAAAUGAUUUGUAAGUGUUUUGUAAUGAUUUUAUUGACCUACAAGCAUUUGUGAAAGUUCUGCUUGCAUUAGAGCUUAGUCUUGAUCUGUGAGCUGAACAGAUUUACUGUUACAUCCAUGAGAUUAUGUAAAUUCAAAUAAAUAUCAUGUCACAGGAUGUCAGAGGUCAGUAUCAAAUUAGUUUGAAAUUAUUAUUUGCAGCACAAAUAAGGUUUUUUAGGAUUUUUAAAAAUCCCUAAAACUGUCAGAAAAGGAUAAG
Molecule: long non-coding RNA, 693 nt
Organism: Carassius gibelio (silver crucian carp)
Lineage: Eukaryota; Metazoa; Chordata; Actinopteri; Cypriniformes; Cyprinidae
Exons: 3
Source: RefSeq, a predicted model, not a curated record